GAUCAUGGCUCAGGACGAACGCUGGCGGCGCGCCUAACACAUGCAAGUCGAACGAGAGAGAAGGAGCUUGCUUCUUCGAUCGAGUGGCGAACGGGUGAGUAACGCGUGAGGAACCUGCCUCAAAGAGGGGGACAACAGUUGGAAACGACUGCUAAUACCGCAUAAGCCCACGGGUCGGCAUCGACCUGAGGGAAAAGGAGCAAUCCGCUUUGAGGUGGCCUCGCGUCCGAUUAGCUAGUUGG
RNAcentral lists this ribosomal RNA (242 nucleotides) under uncultured bacterium. Its description in RNAcentral is "partial 16S ribosomal RNA". It matches the Rfam family "Bacterial small subunit ribosomal RNA", at positions 15 to 252 of the family's 1533-position model. The record is from RNAcentral.